This 1179-nucleotide ribosomal RNA is filed under the name Lactiplantibacillus plantarum. RNAcentral's name for it is "bacterial SSU rRNA". It matches the Rfam family "Bacterial small subunit ribosomal RNA", at positions 1 to 1194 of the family's 1533-position model. The record is from RNAcentral. Lineage: Bacteria; Bacillati; Bacillota; Bacilli; Lactobacillales; Lactobacillaceae.
GGGCCGUUGCGUAUCUAUAAUGCAGUCGACGAACUCUGGUAUUGAUUGGUGCUUGCAUCAUGAUUUACAUUUGAGUGAGUGGCGAACUGGUGAGUAACACGUGGGAAACCUGCCCAGAAGCGGGGGAUAACACCUGGAAACAGAUGCUAAUACCGCAUAACAACUUGGACCGCAUGGUCCGAGUUUGAAAGAUGGCUUCGGCUAUCACUUUUGGAUGGUCCCGCGGCGUAUUAGCUAGAUGGUGGGGUAACGGCUCACCAUGGCAAUGAUACGUAGCCGACCUGAGAGGGUAAUCGGCCACAUUGGGACUGAGACACGGCCCAAACUCCUACGGGAGGCAGCAGUAGGGAAUCUUCCACAAUGGACGAAAGUCUGAUGGAGCAACGCCGCGUGAGUGAAGAAGGGUUUCGGCUCGUAAAACUCUGUUGUUAAAGAAGAACAUAUCUGAGAGUAACUGUUCAGGUAUUGACGGUAUUUAACCAGAAAGCCACGGCUAACUACGUGCCAGCAGCCGCGGUAAUACGUAGGUGGCAAGCGUUGUCCGGAUUUAUUGGGCGUAAAGCGAGCGCAGGCGGUUUUUUAAGUCUGAUGUGAAAGCCUUCGGCUCAACCGAAGAAGUGCAUCGGAAACUGGGAAACUUGAGUGCAGAAGAGGACAGUGGAACUCCAUGUGUAGCGGUGAAAUGCGUAGAUAUAUGGAAGAACACCAGUGGCGAAGGCGGCUGUCUGGUCUGUAACUGACGCUGAGGCUCGAAAGUAUGGGUAGCAAACAGGAUUAGAUACCCUGGUAGUCCAUACCGUAAACGAUGAAUGCUAAGUGUUGGGAGGGUUUCCGCCCUUCAGUGCUGCAGCUAACGCAUUAAAGCAUUCCGCCUGGGGAGUACGGGCCGCUAGGGCUGAAACUCAAAGGAAUUGACGGGGGCCUCGCACAAGCGGUGGAAGCAUGUGGUUUAAUUUCGAAGCUACGGCGAAGAUCUUACCAAGGUUCUUGACAUACUAUGCAAAUCUAGAGAUAGAACGUUCCUUUCGGGUACAUGAUAACAGGGUGGUGCAUGAUUGUCGUUCAGCUCGAGAUCGUGGAUUGUUGGUUAAGUUCCGCAGACGAAGGCGUCACCUAUCUACCAGUGCCUAGCAUAAUUAGGAACCUUCGUGUGCAAACUGUGUCAUGAUGACAAUAUGC